CACACACACACGUGGUCAUUGCAAAACCCCGUUUCCCGCCAUUGAGAAAGUGACGUAUGGAAUUAUUGAGAAAAUGAAAUUUGUUCGAGCUCUUCCAUGAGCCUUGACUUAAACAACCUCAUAAACCCAAAGAGGUGAAUGAUUCACUGUUCAAAACACGGAGAGGAACGUUGGUAAAAGCCUGGAGGCGACAAACAUGCAGGUGUUGCUGAUCUGGAGGGAAACACGGGGAUCAGUGUGAGUCCUCGGAUGGGGGUGUUCAUCCGCCCAAGCGUCGGGGUCAUCGAUGUAUUACGUACCGACUGGGGAGACGUUGUGGAAAAGAAGGGGAUGUGUAUGAUACAAGCUGAAGUUGUCCAUUCUCCCUUUAACCUUCUCUCCAUCGGACCGAUCCUCUUCCUCACGUCGAAGUGAAAAAUCUGAAACAAGAAUUGUGCGUUUGACCUUGAUUCCGGUGAUUCCGCUGAAUCACGGGAACUUGUUUUGUAUUCCCGGGGAAUGGAUACACGUGGUUCAACGGAUAAAAACAUCGGAAGGUGGAACCUCCAACUCUUGUAAAUUGCUUUGCUUCGUGCUGAGGGUCAUGGACCGAGACCACCUGAGGUACUCCCACGAUCCGAGCUCCUCGGACUCCAAGUCGGGUUCUGAUGGAGGGACCAGAGGGGGUCCAGGAGGGGCUGAUGGGAUCUGCGGGUUCAGGAUCCUGGACGUUCAGAACCUUCGUGAUGGAGGGGACGGGACGGACCAGGAACCAGAUCCUAUAGUGGUGGUGAAGGUGGAACCUGAACCUGCAGGUGGUUCUCCACCACCAGGUGAAAUGGAUCCAGUGGAAGCGGAAUAUUUCCAUGGAAACACUCUUCCAACUUCAAAGAGUGUACAUGUGAAGGAAGAGCUGGGUGAAGAUUCUCCCUCUGAAGAUGAGAAAUCGAGGACGAUCUUCAGGAUGUUUUCCUGCACCAAGAAUGUUCAUACCUCCAAAGAGAGAUCUUUACGACCAGACCAGAAGAGUCACUGUGCGAUUUGCAAGGAUUAUGAACAGAAUUUUAACCAUGACCAGGAGGAGGAGAUCCCCUUCAUGCUGUAUGCCCCCAUCCAGAAUGCGACUCACGCAACAACAUCUUUGCCCUUUCCAAUCGUACUCCUGGCCCACUGACUGCCAAUCGUGAUCCUGUUCCACCGACCGCCAUCGCGCAAUUGGAAAGUGUUCACCUGCUUCUCCUUUGUGAGUAAGAGUGUGGUGUUUGGCGCCUUAGCUGUGUUUGGAUUGUUUAUUUCCUUAACAUUGUAUAAAAGUUUGCAUAUCCCCUCUCCUACACUUGUCUGUCAUGGCACUUGGUUUGUUUUGUUUUCCCCACAUCCCAUCCACCUCUUCUCCAUGUAUCUCUUUUUAUUAAAAAAUAAACUUUUAAAAGGGUAAGAGACCUUUUCCCAUCUUUUGCCUCAUGUGUGCAUUCCAACACUGAAUUUGGCUUUAUUCGGUAUAACCUUGGGGGAAUUGGAAAGUGAAUCCCAGCACAGAGGUAUUUGAACGCAGUUUAGCUUCUCACCUUUCGGUUGUUCGUGGGACAAAGGUCCCGGCGUUGAGGCAUAUCACGUUGGCGAGCCUCCGACGUGACAAUACCAAUGACUUUAAGAAGAUGGCAGGAUUCAGCCAAUCUGACAAGUGUAGGUUCUGCAAGGUUGAAACAGAAAGUACCAGUCACCUUCUUUCAUGAUGUAAAAAUCUCUUGUCAGAACAAUUGUGCACACAAAGGCACAACAAUGUAUUCAGAAUAGUCCAAUGGCCCAUCUGCAAAAACGUCAAUAUACCAGUGUCAGAUAAAUUGUGGAAGCACAAACCAAAAGCGAUCGUAGUUCUCAUGUAUGACCUGACCAUCCCAUUGAGAUUGAAUGUAGAAAACAAAGCAUUGUGACCUGACAUAGUACUUAGUACAAAAAAAAGAAAAGAUGGCAUUGCUAAUCAAGGUGGCGGUGCCCAGGAACAUUGGUCUAGAAAACUGACCAACUAUCAGGAUCUGGAAAAUAAGGUCAAGAGAAACUCCUGAUGCUGAAGAGCAACAACAUUGUACCAGUCAUAAUUCAAGUAAUGGGAAUGAUCAAGAAGCUCAUUGAGAUCUUAAAAUCAUUCUGGGGAAUAUUACUACAAACAAAAGACAUGACAGCAUCUGCAAAGUAAUCCACUGGCACAUCUGUAAACAUUUCAACAUCCCGGCCACAGAACAACCAUGGAUACACACGCCAAAUCCUAACCUUGAAAAUUAACAAAUAAUGCUCACGCAUGACAAGAUGAUCCCGUCAAGUUAGUGUGGACAUUGCAGACAAAGCAUACAUUAAAAAAAAUACUCAUGCAUAAAAAAAACAUCGUAAUCAAUUAUAAGUUCACAUGUCACAGAAAAAAAAAAUAGAAAAUGAGGAAGCAUCUCAAAAUGCAAAGCCUGUCCACUUUGCACUGUAAUUAACCUUGAUGAAAAUGACAGUUAAAAAACACUUUACAUUUUAUUUAUUUGUGUUCUCCAUAUUCUCAUAAUAAAAGUUUCUUGAAGAUUUGAUGCCAAAAUCUCAAUUGGUAAAAAUGUUAUGGCCUGGACAGACACAUUGAAGCUGUGUGUGUGUGUGUGUGUGUGUGUGUGGGUGUGUGUGUGCCCCCCC
This is a long non-coding RNA of Eptatretus burgeri (inshore hagfish), 2649 nucleotides long. Lineage: Eukaryota; Metazoa; Chordata; Myxini; Myxiniformes; Myxinidae. The record is from Ensembl.